RNAcentral lists this ribosomal RNA (399 nucleotides) under uncultured soil bacterium. RNAcentral's name for it is "bacterial SSU rRNA". It matches the Rfam family "Bacterial small subunit ribosomal RNA", at positions 26 to 452 of the family's 1533-position model. The record is from RNAcentral.
AGAACGAACGCUGGCGGCAGGCCUAACACAUGCAAGUCGAACGCCCCGCAAGGGGAGUGGCAGACGGGUGAGUAACACGUGGGAACAUGCCCUUUGGUUUGGGAUAACUCAGGGAAACUUGAGCUAAUACCGGAUAAGCCCGAGAGGGGAAAGAUUUAUCGCCGAAGGAUUGGCCCGCGUCCGAUUAGCUAGUUGGUGAGGUAAUGGCUCACCAAGGCGACGAUCGGUAGCCGGUCUGAGAGGAUGAUCAGCCACACUGGGACUGAGACACGGCCCAGACUCCUACGGGAGCAGCAGUGGGAAUAGUGGACAAGUGGGCGCAAGCCUGAUCCGAGCCAGUCGCCGCGUGAGUGAUGAACGGCCUAGGGUUGUAAAGCUCGUUCGCCGAGGGACGAGUAA